GGGGACUCCACUAAUCCUAUAUCUGUAGUGAACCAGUCCAUACUUCAGGAGACGGUAGAUAUUAUUGGGGGACUCCACUAAUCCUAUAUCUGUAGUGAACCAGUCCAUACUUCAGGAGAAGGUAGAUAUUAUUGGGGGACUCCACUAAUCCUAUAUCUGUAGUGAACCAGUCCAUACUUCAGGAGAAGGUAGAUAUUAUUGGGGGACUCCACUAAUCCUAUAUCUGUAGUGAACCAGUCCAUACUUCAGGAGACUGUAGAUAUUAUUGGGGGACUCCACUAAUCCUAUAUCUGUAGUGAACCAGUCCAUACUUCAGGAGACUGUAGAUAUUAUUGGGGGACUCCACUAAUCCUAUAUCUGUAGUGAACCAGUCCAUACUUCAGGAGAAGGUAGAUAUUAUUGGGGGACUCCACUAAUCCUAUAUCUGUAGUGAACCAGUCCAUACUUCAGGAGACUGUAGAUAUUAUUGGGGGACUCCACUAAUCCUAUAUCUGUAGUGACCGAGUCCAUACUUCAGGAGACUGUAGAUAUUAUUGGGGGACUCCACUAAUCCUAUAUCUGUAGUGAACCAGUCCAUACUUCAGGAGACUGUAGAUAUUAUUGGGGGACUCCACUAAUCCUAUAUCUGUAGUGAACCAGUCCA
This is a long non-coding RNA of Oncorhynchus keta (chum salmon), 643 nucleotides long. RefSeq lists it as uncharacterized. NCBI's taxonomy places the organism in Eukaryota, Metazoa, Chordata, Actinopteri, Salmoniformes, Salmonidae. The record is from RefSeq and is a predicted model, not a curated record. The transcript has 3 exons.